Long non-coding RNA from Aquila chrysaetos chrysaetos, 4591 nucleotides. RefSeq lists it as uncharacterized. NCBI's taxonomy places the organism in Eukaryota, Metazoa, Chordata, Aves, Accipitriformes, Accipitridae. The record is from RefSeq and is a predicted model, not a curated record. The transcript has 3 exons.
UCUGCUGUCAGGCAGCCAUCUGAGCACUGGUCUUCAUCCACUUGCUGGUACCCAGUGAGUAAAUACUAUGAAACAUCCUCUGACAACGGAAUUAGAUGCAUCAUACAACAGUUACAACAAUUUAAUGUCUACAUCACACUUUGUCUCAUUCCACUCAUUCCGCUACCGAGACAUCUGACUGAGGAGUGCAGAACCCAAGAAGUGAUUGGUCCAGUAAUGCCAAAGAGGGACUGAGAACAGAGCUCAGAUCUCCUGAAACCCAGCCACUUCAUUUGCAAAGAUUCUUCCAAAUUAUCACUCGGGAGUAGUUUUAAUGCAAGUGACACACUGUCAUCAGUCUGCCUUCAAGAUUAGAGGCCUCGUGUGGUGGUGCAGCCCCCCCGGGCCACAUUGCAAUGUCAGGACCAGCCAACAUUGUGUUCUUGCGCAGUGAGUUGGGACAACCUGGAACUUUCUUAUCCUGGCUACAGUACAGUGAGUUAGGACAGUUAGGCACUCCCUAACUGUACCUGAAACUCCUGCUGCCUGGAACCGCACCUGAAACUCCUGCUGCCCGGAUCAUGGCCCACCUUUGAGGGUGCCUGACAAGAACUGUGGCCAGAAUGGAAAUACACUGACUGAAGUCAAUCAUCUCCUGAACCUAUAAACAGCGGUCCUGAGGGAGGCACUUUGAGCUCUCCUGGACUGCAGCAGGCUGUGACCAGCAUCUCCCUCUGAGUGGGACAUCUCUCACAGCUCACAAACUCUCCAGUUUGCGAAAUUUGGAGGACCGUCACUGAAAGCUGAUGAUGGGACCUGGGCUGAAACCGUUCACUCCUUGAGGCUCAACCCUCGCCCGCUGAGAAAUGCCGAGACAUUUGAAGUGAUUAUUUCACUGGACUUGAGAUGAAUUUUUAACAGGUAUACCUUUGUUUAUAUAUGUAUCUCUCUUUGUGUCUGUGUGCAUGCGUGUGUGAAUUGACUUAGAUAUCUGAUAAAAAGUAUAAUAUAAAUAUUACCAUUUUGAAUCUAUAAUUAAGUCACUUGGGGUUGUAGUAAAUUCUAUUGAAUCACUUUGUAAAUGUUAAACUAGUCAAUGAUUAAGUGCUGCUAAAUCCUGUGAUCCACCUUAAACUGUGAAUGAACCUUAGACUGCUGCUACACACAUAUAAUCCCUUAAAACAUAAAACAUUGACCGAGUGUGGGAGUAGGAGUGGAGCCAGCCGCACCUAAGCUCCAUCAGGAGUUCAGAAAGCCAGCGGGUCUUCUCUGAACCUCGCGACUCAACGGGAGGGUCUUCCUUACUCUUUGUAUUCCUUCCAUUAGACAAACCAUUGCCCAAGUCUGAGACUAAGAUUGCACCUAGCUGCAACUAACCUCCAUCAGGAAUUUAGAAAGCAAGGGGAUCUUCUCUGAACCUCGUGGCUCAAUGGGAGGGUCUACCUUACCCUUUUGCAUCUUUGGUCUCUAUAUAAAUCAUUCUAGUUUGAUUCUAACUUGAUUUGCCUUUGUACGUUUCAUCCAUGUAUUAAGUAAUAGAGUGAACCUUGCCAUCAAACUUCGUGAAGUCGUGCUUUUAUAAACUCCUAUUAAAUCACUUUUGCUAAUACCCUUGGCAGUGAUUCUUUAAGCAGCCCAAACCACUCAUUUGCAACACCUGGUUAAACAGCAGUCUUAAACAACAACAAACAUCCAGGCUCAGGUGGUUCCCAGAAUUAGGAAGUGAACGCAGUCAGGCCUGGGACAUUCGCUUGCUGCAACUACAAGCAACCAUCUUUUCCAUGCAAAAUGGGGGCACUGCUGGAAAUGGACCUUUUAAGUGUCUGACUCAAUUGUAGCUUUGCUUCAACAAGUUCAAGAAUUAAAACAGUACCUUUAUCCUUUUCUGCAUGAACCACUUUUAAAAAACAGCAAAACCUCACAGCCUGACAUGAACUUUGUUUUGUACUGUUUUGCCACUACUGUUCUUCUGUCCUCCUUUCUUUCCUUUCAUCUCCUCUCACUUUCUCCCUUACUGCCACUCCAUCUCAUCUCCCAAUUUUCCUGUUUCCCUCUAUCAUUACACUGAAGGGGGGCUGCUUCCUCACACCCCGCAGCUGUCUCCAGUUUAGUCUGUUUGGCCAAGAACAACUGUGGGCUGUUGUGCUUUGCCUCUGAGCUGUUCUCAUGCAAUUAAAGCAACAUGAUUUUUACCACCACUGAAUGGUGUAGUAGGAACCUAUUUUAACUACUGUUGUUAACUAUUUUACCAUGUUGCAUUUACUAUGUUAGCUAUUUUAAUAGUUGCAAAAGUCAGUUUUGUUCAGCCGUUCUAAGAAGCAGCAGCACUGCACAGCAGAGGAGGCUUGAUAUGGCAGGCUAAGACAUACGCUAAAAACCCUUUCCAAACAGUUGACCAUCAGCACACCAAAGGUACUAAAACCACCUUACGGCCUUGCUUCAGGCACAUCUAAUAGCUGGCCGGUACCCAUGGUGGCUAUGAGAAGUAAUAGCAGAUGCUCAGGUGUGAUAGUGAUGUUCUUGCUGACGAGUCUGGGAAAUUACGCCAACGUACUGUAUGUUGCUGUACACAUGGGAAUAGUAACAACAGUGUUUAUUUUGGACAGACAGCGACCAAAGGCAGAAAUGGAAGGAUGUGAUGCGUAGGAAGCAAUACAGUCCCCCAGCAGCAGAUCAGCGGAGGAUGAGCAACUUAGAAAGUUAUGCUGUUCAGAUGCUACCACUUAGAAAGACAAAGAAGUUCUCAACAGAAUCUAUAAUUAUCUGGGCAACAUUCUGUAAUGAAAUAAUUCUUACUAAAGUAAUAGCAAUUCUUCCCUUAGAUUCAUGAGAACGCCUUGCAGAAUUGCCACCCCUUCUGUUUUUUUCACUGGUUGAGCGUGCAAGUUGCUCUACUCAGUGGAUGGUAUCAUAACUCCUGAAGUGUCCAGGCUCCUGGGGACCAGGACAAAAUACAGCUAACCCCAGGAAGCACUCUCUGAAGACAGGAGGAGGGUACAAAACAUAGCUAAUUGCAGAUUCUAGUUUUUCAAGUGCCCUCUGUCUUUUCAGGCCAAGCCAAAUAACUUGCUGUGAGAAAUUCUUUCUCAUUAGUAGUAUCAGAGGACUAAGGAAACGGACAGAUUAUGUUCUGAUUUUCCAUUCCAUCCUACUAUUUAACCACAUGUAAGAUUUGCAUCAGUUUCUCUAUUUGUAGAACAGUACUACAAAAUAAACACAGUUAUAAAGCACUCUAAGAUACUUGCAGGAAUGAACUAUGAAUAUGCUAAUGUUAGUUACAGUAGACAUAUGGAGUGGAUUGCUGAAAGGUUGGGGAUUCUGAAUCACAGCAGUCUUACCAUCACUAAUUCUGAUGUCUGUUUAAAAUGAAACCGAAGCAUGGCAGGAAAAAUUAUUUCUGAUCAUUUCAUUGCAAUAUUUGAGGAUAUUUCCUUGCCAUUUUCUACUGCUUUUAAUUGUAAAACUACACAUGAUGUUCUCGAUAUUGUCUGCAAAAAAUGGAGCAUGGAUUUUUAAUUCCCUUUCUGUUGACUUCAAUGAUUUCUUUCUUGUAUAAAACAUGCUAAAAGAAAACAGUAGCUGUAUGUACAAUUCUGAAACUAUUAGUUGAUGUCAAACACCUCACCUAAGCCAUUUCCCAUGCAAAAAGAUGAAAAUCCCAAAACAUCUGAAAGAGGUUAGUGGGGGGAAAAAAAAAAAAAAAAAAGGAGGUUACCUGAUUUAGAAGAGAGGCUACAACGGUAACUAAGAACAGCAACUUAAACUGCGUAUGAGGGAAUGGUUCCUGGCAGCCAGAUAUAUUAAUGCACAUCUAGAUGCAAUUGUGCAAAGCCCUCCACGGUGGCAGCUCUAAAACCAUAAAUGGUAUAGCUGCAACAGUAAAAAUUUGCACCAGAGCUAAGAAUGGCAUCACCAAAACCCUCAGUUAUACAAGCAGUCCUGAAUCAGGGGACUAAUCUUUUUGACUGAUCUAUUUUGAUAAGGACUGCCAGGUGGGCAAAAUACCCCCCUUUUUAUAUAGCAUUUCACCACUACUAGAAUAAAAUUAGCAUCUCACCAAUAUCUUUUGUGGUUACUGGCAGGUUCACCAAGAUUAAAAGUAGUGCUUAUUCAUAUAUUUCCAAUAUGCUAGAGGAAAUGUAAAUGGCUGCAGCUCUGCUUAACCAAGAGAUGCAAUAUGUGCAAUGGAAAUCUCAUAGUAGUAUGCCAAAUAGUGUUUGUUAGUGCUUUCCCUGUUAAUACCAUAAUCCCUAACAAAGAGAAAGUCUACUCCUUUUUAAAAGAAAGUUCUCACUCAUUACCAGGAUCUCGCUUAUAUGUGGGCCUUUUUGGGGGUUGUUUUUAACAUCAUUAGUUACAAAAUUAAAUACAUAGUAAUGGGAAGGAGACACAACGUUGUAAUUAUGAAAGGAGCGGAAUCUUGGCAAGAAAAGUGUCCCUUGCCUUUUUUCCCCUCUGGCAUUUAUUUGCUGCUAUGUCAUUUAUACAGAACUUCAUCUGACGUUCAAAGGUAGUUUUUGAUCUGGUGAAUACUGAACUGUGCUAACUGAAGUGACUUUUGUUGUUGUUGUUGUUUGUCUCAACUAUAAUUAAAAUUUCUAAUUGGAAUUUA